Long non-coding RNA from Ixodes scapularis (black-legged tick), 1932 nucleotides. RefSeq lists it as uncharacterized. The record is from RefSeq and is a predicted model, not a curated record. The transcript is spliced from 3 exons. Lineage: Eukaryota; Metazoa; Arthropoda; Arachnida; Ixodida; Ixodidae.
GGACAGAAUUCUAAGUGGAGAGUGGAAACAAGACUGAAAAAUAAAGUUCUCUCCAACCUGUGCCACUCGAGGUAUAACAGGUUUAAACCAAUAAAAAUAAUAAAAAAAAAUAUAAUAAAUUAAAUAAAUAAAGCUAAAUUGCUUUUGCCUUUUUUGUAUAAAAUUGCCAAUUGCAAAAAGGGAAGAAGCGAAACCUCGCAAUUGAACGGGCCUGUAAAAAUCGCGGGUUUUUUUAUUUUCUUUAAGUGCAUUCUUAGAAUCUCCUUUUCUAUAGUUUGCGAUUUAUAUUUCCCGUUGCAGUCCUUGUGUCUUGUUUCUGUUUCUUCUGGCUUGAGGUGUUUUCUUUAACUUGUGGUUUAUUGUAAGCUGUAAAAAAUGAGAAGUAAAAUAAGUUAGUAAAUCUAUUAAUAUGUUUAUUCAUAAAUAUACCUGCUCAUGUGUUCACCUGCUUUGUUCGUUUAUAGCUAUUGGUAAUUGUCAGCUUAAAGCUAAUCGAAAAAUGGUUUGGUCAAAUAAUUUUAUCACUAAUGAAAUUUUGAAAAAGUUUUAAGUAAUAUGUUUUGAGAAAGCCUUAUUCAAGCCCAGUGACCGGAAUAUCCGGACCGCCAGGCUCUCGCUUGUUUUGUACAGUGAAUUGAUUUUUGAUUGAGUGUUUCAAGAUAAGAAGUGGUUUUAUAGUUAUAAUUGGUGAAUCAGUGUUAACGCUAAUAAAUAAAUGCAAAAAGAAAGGAUCUAAAUAUCUGUAUAUAGAGAGAGAAUAAGACAAUACAAAUAUACAAUUAUAAUGGUGUGUGAUGUCAAGUUGUGGGGUAACUAUAGUGUAGAAUAUUGUCUAGAUUGCGCCACAAAACAAUUUGAAUAAUUUUGAAAUCUAUGCUUUGUUAGUAGGAAAUAAUUAUUAUGUGAAGUCCGUAUUGGUUAUGUACAGCUAUUUACAUGGUGCGAAUGUAGAGAAAUAAAAUUAGCGAUGUGUGUGAAAACAGAUUAUGCUAGUGUUUGAGUGGUUACUUUCGGUGGAGUAUUUAUUACGAUAAGCUAAGAAUAUAUAAUUUAGAAAAAAAAAAUUUUUUUUUCAACUAUAUUUAUUAUUUUGUCAUUUCUAUCAAUAAUGUACUGAUGUAAGGUGGGUACAAGGAUAAUUAGGGAAAUAGUGGUUUUAAAGGUCAAAAUAACGACAUUAAAAGAUGUGUUAUUUUGAGAAUAUGGCAGUAACACUUGUGAAAGCACUUGCAUCAAUGAGUUUAGAAUGAUCCGUUUUGAUGGGUUUUUCGUGCGAGUCCGGAAGAUUUUCAUCCGCCGGACCGGGCGACUCCUGGUCUGGAUGGCACACCAGGUUUCUCUGCGGGUUCGCAAGAUAUUUAUCCGCCAAACCGGGCGACUCUUGGUCUGGGUGGCGCACCAAGUAGCCCCCCACCAACCCAUAAGGGAAGGCGCGCCAUGAACCGUCAACCAAGCCACCUCCCUGUCAGCCAUCAUCUUGCAUUCCCUGUUGUCUGCUGUUUUCUGUUGAACGCCUUUUUGGUGUUUAAUUAGGUUACUACCUCUUCCUGAAUAAACAUCAUCAUCCGCUCCAUAACCUUUAUGGCUUUGACAUUCGACAAAAUUGACCAUUUCGUAGCAUUAUCGAAUACGGUAUAUUUAAGUUUGUUUAAUUCGUUACGGAAAGUCAAUGUCCAAGGGCAGGUAGUUAGAUAAUGUUCGAAAUUAGCGGUCGGAAGUCCGCAAAAGCAAUUAUUAGUAUUCGUUAUUUUAAAUCUAAAAAGAUAAAAAGGAAAUCUUCCAUGCCCGGUCAUAAUUUGUGUUAAAAGAUGUGAAGAUGGGAACAUUUCCGGUAUGUUGUAUACAGUGGGAAUCCAUGUAAAUAGUUCUUUUUCUCUGCCCAAUCUUUUCCACUCAUCAUCCCAUUCCCUCCUUACUUCUUUAUUUAAUUCU